GCUGGGCGCAGUGGUGCCUGCCUGUAGUCCCAGCUACUCGGGAGGCUGAGGUGGGAGGACCACUUGAGUCCAGGAGUUCUGGGCUGUAGUGUGCUAUGCUGAUCAGUCUGCACUAUGUUUGGCAUCAAUAUGGUGACCUCUUGGGAGCGGGGGCCCACCAGGUUGCCUAAGGAGGAGUGAGCCAGCCCAGGUCAGAAAUGGAGCAGGUCAAAACUCCUGUGCUGAUCAGUAGUGGGAUUUCACCUGUGAAUAGCCACCGCACUCCAGCCUGGGCAACAUAGCGUGACCCUGUCUCU
This 296-nucleotide signal recognition particle RNA is filed under the name Saimiri boliviensis boliviensis (Bolivian squirrel monkey). RNAcentral's name for it is "Metazoan signal recognition particle RNA (ENSSBOG00000009445.1)". It matches the Rfam family "Metazoan signal recognition particle RNA". Rfam says of the family: The signal recognition particle (SRP) is a universally conserved ribonucleoprotein. Lineage: Eukaryota; Metazoa; Chordata; Mammalia; Primates; Cebidae. The record is from RNAcentral.